AGAUGAGAAUAGUGGGAGAGUUUUGACUUGAGGUCAUCAGAAGAAAAGGGCAGCGACUCCCAUCCCGGCACAGAAGCGCGUGUGGUUCCUGCCAAGCCAGGGAUGAGCUUUGCAGCAGGCGAGGAGGGUGACGGCGGCGCUGAGGAUGGAAAUAAACCAAACCUGCCAGGGAUACAUGCAGGUGAUGCUCAACACCUCCACUGCCAGAGCACAGAGACAUUGGAGAUAUGGUGGAACCGAAAGACCAAUGGUGUGAAGACCAAUGAUUUCAUUUGGGCUCUAACACCAUACAGUAAAGUCUUCAGCAUGAGGGGAGGGUGCUCCUUACUCCCAGCCAUAUGCAUUACUUAUACCAAGCUUUAGAAAAACCUAUUUUCAUAGAAUUGCAUACUGGUUUGGGUUGGAAGGGGCCUUAAAACUCAUCCAGUUCCAACCCCCUGCCAUGGGCAGGGACACCUUCCACUAGAGCAGGUUGCUCCAAGUCCUGUCCAACCUGGCAGUUUUAACAAUGAAAGUUCCAGGUUCACUCAUGGGAACGUACUGAGGUGACUGUGACCUGCAGGGACACAACCUGUCCCCAGCACCCCAGUGUUAGACAGAUGGAGCAUCCCAACUCUCCAUGCUUGGGGACACAGGAAGCCUAUCACUCCCCGCCAGCUCCUCUGAAGCCCCGUGUCUGGCCUGUGUUUGACGAGACCACAGCUCAUGUGGUUUACUGAGCAGGCACCUCACCCACGUGAGCAUCUCCACCAUAGCUACGGAUGCAAAUAAAUGCCCGCUGUAGACAGUUGCUCAGCCUAAAAAGAAAUGAGAGCCGUUUCUAGACGGGAAUAAAGCAUCACCCAAGCUUGGCCAGGCCCCUGCCACAUCCCCUUCUUGCUGGUGGCCAACCUCACAAAGAGGAAGUGUGCCAAGGAAGACCUUAAGCUGGUGAACACCAUCCCCGAGGGCAAUGGUAUGGCAGGAUCAUAGAAUCACAGGAUCACAAACUGGUGGAAAGGGACCUUAAAGCUCAUCCAGUUCCAACACCUUGCCACGGGCAGGGACACCUUCCACCACAAGGGAGGAUUCCAUCAGCAGAAGAGAUGCUCUUGUGCCUGCCCAGCCGCCCCAGGGGUCUCCUCCAGUCCCACCGUGGAGGUGCAGAGUGCCCCUGCUCCCGGUGCCCAUCCCUAUGGGAUGGGGGAUAAUUAACCCCUGAUAGUAUUUCUUACCACGCGCCUUCCCACAGGCUCCCAGUUGCUGCGAUGCCAGUGGUGCUUCCCAAAUACUAAUCAGGAACAAACACUAAUGAUGAAACAUGCUACAGGUUCGACAUACCCACGCAAAGGUCAGGCGUGAGCAUGGGAUUCCACUGGAAAACCAAGGCGGGCAUGAUCCCUCUGCUCUUGUCAUUCCACUCCUGACUUCACCCGGGGCCCCUCUCUACGACGAUUUCAAUUCUCUUUGUAUUGGCAGGAGAAUUAUUUUCCUUUAACUUCUUUUUUUCUUUUUUUUUUGCUUGGUCUUGCGAACAGUGGUUCUGGGUUUCCUCAAACUUUCCCCCAAACUCUUACCUGGGGCAGACAAAGUUGCAGCACAGAGGUAAAAACUGUAAGUAGGCAAAUAACAGUAAUAAUAAAAUCAUUAUAUAAGUCUAGAAAUUAUUCUCAUUCGGUUGCAUUGUAUUUACUUCUUGUCUACUGUUUAUUAUCUUAUUCCUUGGAGCAGGACUUUGGACAAGGGCCUGUAGGGACAGGACAA
Strigops habroptila (Kakapo) is the source of this 1743-nucleotide long non-coding RNA. The record is from Ensembl. Lineage: Eukaryota; Metazoa; Chordata; Aves; Psittaciformes; Psittacidae.